Long non-coding RNA from Dermochelys coriacea (leatherback sea turtle), 782 nucleotides. RefSeq lists it as uncharacterized. NCBI's taxonomy places the organism in Eukaryota, Metazoa, Chordata, Testudines, Dermochelyidae. The record is from RefSeq and is a predicted model, not a curated record. The transcript is spliced from 2 exons.
GGUUGUGCUUUUUCUCUUCUCCCAUUGUCAGCUAGUGCAAGAGCGUGUUGGGAAAAACCUGUCUGCGGGAUCCUGUGUCAUCUCCCGCUACAUGUGCACAGGAAAAGUCAGUGCUGCUCGCUGCGCCUCUCUGUUUCCCUUUCAUUCUUGCUUGCACUGAAGCAGGGAGCAGGAUUAGCUCGUGGCACUGGCUGUCAGAGGAGCGUAGAUAAAAGGCACAGCUCGUUCAGCGCCCCUGCUGCAGCCCUUGUUAUUGUUUCCCCCUUCCCCACAACAGUUGUGCCUCAUUAUCCACUGUCUGGCUCAAUUUUUGUGCCCGUGUGUGCAUUGGAAGGGGCUUGAAGUUUUCCCUGCUCCACCGACUGUGGCAGAAGAAGGAGAGAUGUUCUAUAGCGUGGCCAUGAGGUCUUGAUUGUUCUGCGUUUAUGAAUGAAGCUGACCUCAGUCACCUGUUACCUCCAGUUUCUAGAUUGUUGGAAGUUCUGCGGCUGUUCCCUACAGGACCGAGGGCACCGAGACGCCAAUCUACAAGGACCCUACAGUAUCGUCUGCAGCAUGAGCUGGCUGAAUAGGAUUGCACUGCUUUUCUUGGGAGUAUUACUAGCAGAAAGAGUGAACUGCCAGCAUGUGAAGAAUAACGUGCCAAGACUCAAAUUAUCCUAUAAAGAACUUCAGGAAAAGCUGGCACCAGCUGAAGAGCAACCCAGAAUAUCAUGGAUCUACUGUCAUGACAAAGAUUGUGUUUUGUGUUGUUUGUCUUGUUGCUAGCAUUGUUGUGUAUU